GAGUUUGAUCCUGGCUCAGGACGAACGCUGGCGGCAUGCCUAACACAUGCAAGUCGAACGGGAUAGGCAAGUAUCCUAGUGGCGAACGGGUGAGUAACGCGUGAGUAACCUGCCUCAUACAACGGGAUACCUGAGGGAAACUUCAGUUAAUACGGUAUAAGACCACACUGCCGCAUGGCAGAGGGGUAAAAGAGCAAUCCGGUAUGAGAUGGACUCGCGUCGCAUUAGCUAGUUGGUGAGGUAACGGCCACCAAGGCGACGAUGCGUAGCCGACCUGAGAGGUGA
RNAcentral lists this ribosomal RNA (285 nucleotides) under uncultured microorganism. Its description in RNAcentral is "partial 16S ribosomal RNA". It matches the Rfam family "Bacterial small subunit ribosomal RNA", at positions 9 to 303 of the family's 1533-position model. The record is from RNAcentral.